RNAcentral lists this ribosomal RNA (274 nucleotides) under uncultured bacterium. RNAcentral describes it as "partial 16S ribosomal RNA". It matches the Rfam family "Bacterial small subunit ribosomal RNA", at positions 523 to 796 of the family's 1533-position model. The record is from RNAcentral.
AUACAGGGGGUGCGAGCGUUAAUCGGAAUUACUGGGCGUAAAGAGUACGUAGGCGGUUGCUUAAGUCAGAUGUGAAAGCCCCGGGCUCAACCUGGGAACUGCAUUUGAAACUGAGUGACUAGAGUUUAAGAGAGGGGAGUAGAAUUCCGGGUGUAGCGGUGAAAUGCGCAGAGAUCCGGAGGAAUACCAGUGGCGAAGGCGGCUCCCUGGCUUAAAACUGACGCUGAGGUACGAAAGCGUGGGUAGCAAACAGGAUUAGAAACCCUAGUAGUCC